RNAcentral lists this long non-coding RNA (1428 nucleotides) under Homo sapiens (human). RNAcentral's name for it is "HSALNT0053232". Lineage: Eukaryota; Metazoa; Chordata; Mammalia; Primates; Hominidae. The record is from RNAcentral.
GCAGAACUUAUUUAGUUAAACAAAACUCUGUAGGUAACGCAAUCCAUCAUUUUUAUUGGUCUUCUGUGAGAGCAUAGUGCAGAUCUCAGUCCCUUCUCAAACUGCAAUUAGCAUAUUUCUUUCUUUUUAAUUACUCGUCACACUCCAAUGAUUCUGGUUGCAGUUGCACAGGGUGCAUCUCCACCCUGACUCAGGAUGGGACACAGCCCUGAGUGAACUGGCAAGCAAGGUCUAAUCAGCUACAGAUGGGUUGUUAUCUGAGGCAUCACGUCCACCCUCUUUAAGUGAGUCUAGAAGGAAUUGGGCCUAAGAUAUUGAACUAAAGGAAUAAGACAGGAGUAAGAAACUCCUUCUACAACACAGGCACAGAGCUUUUUUCUUUGGGCUCACAUGUCACGAGACCAGAGAGGAGGCACCAGUUUGAAGGCUGAUUAGUUGUGAACCAGGAUAGGAGAUUGCAGGAUUGGGGAAGGCAUUUGAGUCUUAGGGGAUGGCAUGAGUAAAACCCUAGGAGCAUGGACUGCCUAGCUUGUGCAGUUUGGUGUGGUCAGAGGGCUAACUGUCAGGUGGGGUGACUGGAGGGGCCCGCCAAGGCCAAACCAUGACUUCAUGCUUUCUUGAACUGUGGAAAGAUUUUAAGCAGAGGGAAAAUAGGCUUAGACCCACAGCCUGACUCCCAGAGUGCUGGCAGUGGGAGACAAUUUGGGGAGCUCCUGCUGACAAGUAAUUAGAUACUGUGGUUUCUGUUAUUUUUCAGCCUGUUCAUCCUUGAGUAGAAGCAACAGAAGAUAAUACCCAAAUGCUGACUGCCGUUGUGGAAAAAACUCACCCAUAUCCUGCCUGUAGUUAACGGCAGAGGUACUGCAUCCUGCAGUGUUGGAAUGGUCUAAGGAGGCUGCUGAGUUGGAUCUCACUGGCUUACAUGUUCAUCUAAACCUCUUUCCUAUGGAUUCAUGCGUAUGCCUGGUUUUUGUCUAAUGCCAGAUCUGAGGUAGAGUGAAUGUGUGCCCUUCCCCAUUACAAACACUUGGAUUGAUAUCUUCUCUUGGGUUAGAGAAUAGAAUUUCCUUCUGAGGAUAAAGUGGACAGUGUGCAUUAGAUCUAUCCCAUGAAGUUCCUGCUGGUUAUGGUGAAUGGGAACCAACCUCACUAGGGUGAAAGUUAAAAUUCACCACUGAUUGAAUUAGAACAAUUGUUCAUGCUGUUCAAGAGCAGAGAACAGUCUGAUAUCUAAAGAGUUUAGUUAAGCCCCAAGGAGCAAUUUUUCUCUCCUGUUCUAAGUUUUCCUCUUGAGUUUUUCCCCUGUGGGAAUUAUUAUCGUGUUUGCAACAUUGAAAGUUUUGAUUGACAUUUCCUACACUUGCAGGUUUUUAACACAAACUUCAGUUUGAUGACAAUAUAACCAAAUCCCAGGGACAUGAAUAAAAC